RNAcentral lists this ribosomal RNA (1486 nucleotides) under metagenome. Its description in RNAcentral is "bacterial SSU rRNA". It matches the Rfam family "Bacterial small subunit ribosomal RNA". The record is from RNAcentral.
AGAGUUUGAUCCUGGCUCAGGAUGAACGCUAGCUACAGGCUUAACACAUGCAAGUCGAGGGGCAGCAUGGUCUUAGCUUGCUAAGGCCGAUGGCGACCGGCGCACGGGUGAGUAACACGUAUCCAACCUGCCGUCUACUCUUGGACAGCCUUCUGAAAGGAAGAUUAAUACAAGAUGGCAUCAUGAGUCCGCAUGUUCACAUGAUUAAAGGUAUUCCGGUAGACGAUGGGGAUGCGUUCCAUUAGAUAGUAGGCGGGGUAACGGCCCACCUAGUCUUCGAUGGAUAGGGGUUCUGAGAGGAAGGUCCCCCACAUUGGAACUGAGACACGGUCCAAACUCCUACGGGAGGCAGCAGUGAGGAAUAUUGGUCAAUGGGCGAGAGCCUGAACCAGCCAAGUAGCGUGAAGGAUGACUGCCCUAUGGGUUGUAAACUUCUUUUAUAAAGGAAUAAAGUCGGGUAUGCAUACCCGUUUGCAUGUACUUUAUGAAUAAGGAUCGGCUAACUCCGUGCCAGCAGCCGCGGUAAUACGGAGGAUCCGAGCGUUAUCCGGAUUUAUUGGGUUUAAAGGGAGCGUAGAUGGAUGUUUAAGUCAGUUGUGAAAGUUUGCGGCUCAACCGUAAAAUUGCAGUUGAUACUGGAUAUCUUGAGUGCAGUUGAGGCAGGCGGAAUUCGUGGUGUAGCGGUGAAAUGCUUGGAUAUCACGAAGAACUCCGAUUGCGAAGGCAGCCUGCUAAGCUGCGACUGACAUUGAGGCUCGAAAGUGUGGGUAUCAAACAGGAUUAGAUACCCUGGUAGUCCACACGGUAAACGAUGAAUACUCGCUGUUUGCGAUAUACAGCAAGCGGCCAAGCGAAAGCGUUAAGUAUUCCACCUGGGGAGUACGCCGGCAACGGUGAAACUCAAAGGAAUUGACGGGGGCCCGCACAAGCGGAGGAACAUGUGGUUUAAUUCGAUGAUACGCGAGGAACCUUACCCGGGCUUAAAUUGCAGAUGAAUUACGGUGAAAGCCGUAAGCCGCAAGGCAUCUGUGAAGGUGCUGCAUGGUUGUCGUCAGCUCGUGCCGUGAGGUGUCGGCUUAAGUGCCAUAACGAGCGCAACCCAUGUUGUCAGUUACUAACAGGUCAUGCUGAGGACUCUGACAAGACUGCCAUCGUAAGAUGUGAGGAAGGUGGGGAUGACGUCAAAUCAGCACGGCCCUUACGUCCGGGGCUACACACGUGUUACAAUGGGGGGUACAGAGGGCCGCUACCACGCGAGUGGAUGCCAAUCCCCAAAACCUCUCUCAGUUCGGACUGGAGUCUGCAACCCGACUCCACGAAGCUGGAUUCGCUAGUAAUCGCGCAUCAGCCACGGCGCGGUGAAUACGUUCCCGGGCCUUGUACACACCGCCCGUCAAGCCAUGGGAGCCGGGGGUACCUGAAGUGCGUAACCGCGAGGAGCGCCCUAGGGUAAAACUGGUGACUGGGGCUAAGUCGUAACAAGGUA